GUUUCCGUAGUGUAGCGGUUAUCACGUCUGCUUCACAAGCAGAAGGUCCCCGGUUCGAUCCCGGGCGGGAAAA
This 73-nucleotide transfer RNA is filed under the name Schistocerca americana (American grasshopper). RNAcentral's name for it is "tRNA-Val". It matches the Rfam family "tRNA". From Rfam's summary of the family: Transfer RNA (tRNA) molecules are approximately 80 nucleotides in length. Their secondary structure includes four short double-helical elements and three loops (D, anti-codon, and T loops). The record is from RNAcentral. Lineage: Eukaryota; Metazoa; Arthropoda; Insecta; Orthoptera; Acrididae.